AUGCACGCUGGCGGCGUGCCUAAUACAUGCAAGUCGAGCGAACGGACGAGAAGCUUGCUUCUCUGAUGUUAGCGGCGGACGGGUGAGUAACACGUGGAUAACCUACCUAUAAGACUGGGAUAACUUCGGGAAACCGGAGCUAAUACCGGAUGAUAUUUUGAACCGCAUGGUUCAAAAGUGAAAGACGGUCUUGCUGUCACUUAUAGAUGGAUCCGCGCUGCAUUAGCUAGUUGGUAAGGUAACGGCUUACCAAGGCAACGAUGCAUAGCCGACCUGAGAGGGUGAUCGGCCACACUGGAACUGAGACACGGUCCAGACUCCUACGGGAGGCAGCAGUAGGGAAUCUUCCGCAAUGGGCGAAAGCCUGACGGAGCAACGCCGCGUGAGUGAUGAAGGUCUUCGGAUCUUAAAACUCUGUUAUUAGGGAAGAACAUAUGUGUAAGUAACUGUGCACAUCUUGACGGUACCUAAUCAGAAAGCCACGGCUAACUACGUG
RNAcentral lists this ribosomal RNA (496 nucleotides) under uncultured bacterium. Its description in RNAcentral is "partial 16S ribosomal RNA". It matches the Rfam family "Bacterial small subunit ribosomal RNA", at positions 29 to 507 of the family's 1533-position model. The record is from RNAcentral.